This 440-nucleotide ribosomal RNA is filed under the name uncultured bacterium. RNAcentral's name for it is "bacterial SSU rRNA". It matches the Rfam family "Bacterial small subunit ribosomal RNA", at positions 360 to 793 of the family's 1533-position model. The record is from RNAcentral.
AAUAUUGCACAAUGGGCGCAAGCCUGAUGCAGCCAUGCCGCGUGUAUGAAGAAGGCCUUCGGGUUGUAAAGUACUUUCAGCAGUGAGGAAGGCGGGUACGUUAAUAGCGUGCUCGUUUGACGUUAGCUGCAGAAGAAGCACCGGCUAACUCCGUGCCAGCAGCCGCGGUAAUACGGAGGGUGCGAGCGUUAAUCGGAAUUACUGGGCGUAAAGCGCAUGCAGGUGGUUUGUUAAGUCAGAUGUGAAAGCCCGGGGCUCAACCUCGGAAUUGCAUUUGAAACUGGCAGACUAGAGUACUGUAGAGGGGGUAGAAUUUCAGGUGUAGCGGUGAAAUGCGUAGAGAUCUGAAGGAAUACCGGUGGCGAAGGCGGCCCCCUGGACAGAUACUGACACUCAGAUGCGAAAGCGUGGGGAGCAAACAGGAUUAGAUACCCUGGUAG